Molecule: long non-coding RNA, 17623 nt
Filed under: Coffea arabica (coffee)
Lineage: Eukaryota; Viridiplantae; Streptophyta; Magnoliopsida; Gentianales; Rubiaceae
Description: long non-coding RNA (CARA_LNC003094)
Source: RNAcentral
UUUCUUUUUUUUUUUUUUUUUUUUGGGUGGGCAUGUUACAAUUGUUAAUUAAUCUGUACAAAUCAUGCGUGGUAUGCACGUGUUCUACUGCAAUGCUCAGCUUAAUAAAAAUAUUAUUAUUAUUGUUGAUAGUAAUGUCAGUGGGGUCGGCUAGUAUUUGCUUGUUCAACUUUUGCUCUUGACAAAAAAAAAAAAAAAAAAAAAAAAAAAAAAAAACUUUUGCUCUUGACAAUUUUAUUAUUGAUUUGUUUUUACGUUGCCUAGCUCUCAAAAGCUCAUUCUGUGGCGUUAUCUUCGCCACUCCUACUCUAGUCUACUCUCUACUAGGAAGUGAUUGAAUUAUUAGUGCUAGUGCUACAAGCCACAUAUGAUCUGAUAAAUUUUAUAUAAAAUUUUCAUUAUUAAAGCAAAUUGUGAUAUUUUAAUUUUUUUUACUCCCUUCAAAUGAUGAUGGUUUUACAGUAAUUUUUGUUAAGAUGUGUUUAAAUUAAUUAUGAUUAAAAAUAAUUAUAGGUAGAUAUUUCAACAAUUCAUAUUUAGAUAGUAAAAUAAUAAGUGAUUUUAGCAAGGAUAAAAUUGAAAGUAUAUAAAAUGAAAAAAAUGUUUUAUCGCAAAUUCUCAUCUCUCUCUUUUCUUCUCUUUAUAUAAAGUGUAGAUAUAUAAAGUAUGGAGACUACGUGGAUGAAUUUUCUUCUCUCUUGUUUGUUUUGUUAGCAGUACAAUAACCUUUUCCAUAUGUCCGAAUUUUGUAAUGUUUUGUAAAGAUUGGGGACAGUGGGGUACGGUGCUACGUGUUAAUGUAUAAAUUUAGUUGGGAGGACUUGAAUGCUGACUAAUAGCUAGGCUGGCUUUGCUGGUAGUUGGCCACCACCUAGCAGACAGACCACUAAUAAAAGAGUCCGGGGACUAAGAAAUGGUCUAGGAUUUGGACCAUGUCCAUUUCCAAUAAAUAGGGGGGCUCUCCCUUGGUACUCUCUUUUCUCCGCUAGUUGAGUGAAAGUCCAAAUCUUAUAUUGGAUUCGUUGAUGGAGAUUCUUAACUCAACUAAUCACUAUGCUCCAUCUAGCUAAUCAGCCUUUUUUUAAUAUAUAUAUAUAUAUAUAUAUAUACACUGUAUAUAAACAAACGACUAAAUAGAAACGUAUUAAGAAUAAUCUUUUAUAUAUUGAUAAUGUAUGCAUUGCCGGUUAAUGCUAAGAGAGCGAAAAGUUCGAAUCUUAUAUUGGAUUCGGUAGCGAAGAUUCUAAACUCAAGUUGUCUUGUCUCUUGCCUCGUCGUCAUUAAUUACUAUGCUCCACCUAGCUAAUCGCUAAAUAGAAACGUAUUAAGAUUAAUCUUGGAUGAGUAAAUGUUAUAUAAAAUUUGAAUUUGAAACUAACGGCGAUAAUAUAUACACUGCCAGUCAGUGUAUAUAAGAUUCACUCAACUUAUUAUGAUUUCGUCACAAGAAGGGAGAUUUCUAUUUCUAGUUUUAAUAGUUCUAGAGUAAAACACACGAGUUCUCAACUUUCACGAGAUAUUAUUGUUUAGGAAGCAUUAAAGGAUUUCGUAAUCCUUUUGUAUGUUAAUUUUUGCAGAAACUUUAUGGGAUUUCAAAUUCCGCUGCACGACAAAGUAUUACUCAAGGAAUGCUUAUUCCAAUAUGAGUUGCUUCCCGUUUCGAUUGCAUUUUUCGGCAUUUUUCAUGGAAAAAUUACUGUAGCGAUUUGAUGUAUGUGAGGAAAAAAGGUAAUAGGGAAAUGUGUUCACGGAAAAUGACGAAAUUUUUCUACGGAAAACAGCAAUCCAAGCGAGGCUUUUAAUUUAUCUUGAUAUAUUAAUAAAUGUAGAGCUUUCUUGUAACAACUCCUUUGCUAGCAUUGUUAUGUAUACUUGGAGAGAAAGAAGUCCUACAGCUUUUAUGAACCUUACAAUCUGAGCUGAACGUCCUAACUAAAAAUAAGAGAUGCAAAACUGCCAGCACAAGGCACUGGCCAAGGAUUCUUCAUCAAAGGCAUAAAAAAGUUAAAAAAGUUAGUGACCAAACUGUACAUUUGAAUCAAAUUGAAAUUUUGUAAAAUUGCUUCCUCUCAUUGCCACCUUCUGGGAGUGGGAGGUUUAGGUGAUAAAUUGGCUCCACUGGCUGAUUUCUUCAAUCCUGAGUAAAUGCAGAGAAAGUCUCAAAAGAAACAUCAGCAGAAAUGAAGCUCAUUCCAUUCAUGCAAAAAGCAUAGCAGUGCAAUCUAUAGAGCACCAUUGUGCGUACCAGUUGAGACUCUUGGAGACUCCUUUGGUGAUUUUUCUCCUGCUCUAGGUGAUCUAACUACUAUUUUCAAUCUGCAAAAGAUGAUUAUGAGAACAAAUGAUCAAAGAUCCCGAGCCAGUCAAAUACCUGAUCGCCACUGCAUAACUGCAGAAGUAGUAAAGCUAAGGUAACAUAGUCCCUCGACCUAUUUAAGUGGUAUGAAAGCCGAAACCACAUGGUUAAAGCAUGACUUAAUCUGAUCGAAUCAAAGUGGUCUUUUCCCGAAUGUCCGAAAAGUGGCAGAAUUCUUCAUUAGCUGUGAAAAGUUAUAGCAAGGAACAAAAGAACAAGAAUGAUGGCAAGGUACUUUGGCUUUAAUAUUUCAGAAAAUGAGGGGUGAAGGAAGGAGAGUGUUCGUUCUACUAUCAGUGGUUUAACGUUAGACAAUUUAGAACACCAUAUCCUCAAUUACUUGAAAAAGAACUUCAGGCAUAUGCAUAAACAGUAAAUAUUAAUCCUAGUAGUUUGUUACAUGGAUGCUUUCAGAAAACUGUAAGAUAAAAACGUAUAAAGACUAAUUAUAUUGUCUCGUUUAGAAUAGGAGAAAGCACUAAAAUCGUUACGCGUAUUAUGAAGGUUCUGAGAAAACAAGAUGAAAUAUUGAAUUGGCUAGUUAAUUAUAUACUUACUUAUCAAUAUUCUCAGAUCGCCUUGCUCCUUCAGCAAGGGGACUUCUUUCCACUGAGCCAUCAGUUUCUGUGCCCAAAGAAACACAAAUAUCAGACAUAUCAGUCUUUCUUUGCAAAUUAUCUGCACUGCUGGAUUCCAAGGCCUCAGCCUCAGCAGAAAAAUGUUGACCUAUAUUAACCCUCCAGCAGUCUUGGAUUGCUGGGGGGGGAUUCUUUUUUAUAUCUCUAAAAUCAUUGGUUUGGAACUAUCUAAAGAAUGUUUAUCACUACCCUCUGAGUUAUCUUCAUCAGAAGCUGCUUUCUCUAUUAGUCCUGAGCCUUCCUCACCAGAUAAUUUCAUGCUUCGUUGAGGAGUCCCAUACCUCAGUGAAUUUGCAUCAUUAUUGGCUCCAGCGUACACAUUUUUGAGAUCCUUGAGGAGUUGUAAUCUCUCAAUUUCCUCGUCUUUCUUCGCAAUUGUGUCUUUUAGGGAUGCAACCUGCAACAUUGGGAAUCCGCAUAUAUGAAAAGUUAUCUCCAAGAAUAUCAAAGUUACUCGAAAAUAGGAGAGACUAGAAACUAAAAUACACAAAUUUCUUUAUAAGUGACUUCUUUGAUUUCAACGUCUGUAGUUGUUUGUUUUCAUCAACGCAGCCAAGAGUCCAGUUAUACUUUUUCAACUGGAUUUCUUUUUAGAAUUGUCCAUGCAACAGUAUAUAAUUGAAAUCCUUUAUGAAAACAAGAAUUUCCUAACACACAUGAAAACCAGUAAAAAAAAAAAAAAUCUUAGAAUUUCAUAUUCUCUAUAUGAAUUGGAAGAAAGAGAAUAAACACUACCUGCUCCAUCAAUUCCCUAACAUCCCUGCCAUCUUUGCUGCUUUUAGCAGCACCUAGCUCAACUCCAGAUGCCCUUUCAGCAAAUUUCAAGGUACUUAGAGUUUCUGAAUAAGAAUUAACUUCAGGGUUAAGUUGCACAAACAUGAGAGUCUUCGCAUUUCCACCUGCAUCACAACAAUGGAAAAAAAAAAAAAAAAAAAAGAAUGAAUGAAAUGCAUUUCACUUUUCUGGUCAUUGUAGUAAUCCAAUUGCCCACGAAAUGCACCCCAAUGUUUCUUAUACUGAAAAUUACAAAAUUCUGUCACAUAGUACAGUGUUUAUACUAAGACAGAUAAUAAAUUGUCAGCCACUUUUAGUUUCGUUGGUUGAAGAGGGGUAUGGAGGGAAAGUAAUUAGUGUGGAGGCCUAUGCACAUUUAGACAAGGAAUGCACAAGAAACGUACUUGCAAGACCAAAGAUACGAGGAAAAGAGGAAUCAUCCCCUUCGAGGACUUUAUCUCCCAAAAAACCAUCUGAGCUUUUUGCUGCCUAAAGUCCUAUGGCAGAAAAUGCUAAGGAGUUUUACUGAGUUUCACAUGAAGUACUAUACUUGUGUCAUACCAUGCCAGCCAACUAAGUUUUCAUCCAAUGCAUGUUUAAACAUGACAAAAUACUAAAGCAACGUGAACCAAGUGAUACUACUCCAUGUAUACUUGAACCUAAGCUUAUCUGCAAAUGUUCCAACCAGAUGCAGAAAGUCCGUAAAGUAACUUGGAGGCUGAAACAACAACGCAUAGAGCAUUUGCUUAGCUUUUAUAUACCCCUAAAAAAAAAGCUGUGAAUUAGAUCCAUUUUCGCUCAUAUGAGGCAAUAUUACAUUGACAAAAAAUAACAUACCCAACGAGCCCUGAAGGACUUGAGUGAGCUUGCUAUUUCUAUAUGGAAUAUGAGGACUCUUUUGUGCCAAAGCAGAGAUGACAUCUCCAAGGGCAGACAAUGAUUUGUUUAUGUGUUGUGCCUCCUUUAAUCUAUCACCUGUGACUUCACUGCGGUCUACUCUUUCACUUCCCGCAAGAUCCACUAGAUGAAGACUACUCUGCAUAGAAGAUCGGGUUUUCUGAUCUACCCCACGAGCAUGUAUACUCAGGAUGCUGUGUAAAUGGCAUGCCAGUUAAAACGCUGACAAUAACAUGAGAAAAAUAAUUAAGGAACUUUAACAUGGUAGUAAAUAACCUGUGUGAUCGACUGCUUCUUUCGUUUAGUGCUGUGGAACCUUUAGCUCUAUUCUUCAGUCCAACAUCCAUCAGGUGCAAUACAUCAGAUGUCGCUUUAACUGGGUACAUGGUUGCAUCUGGGACCGCUAACCCAUUUGGUUGGGAGCCUGACAAAAUCCCAAGUGUGUGCAAAUAAAGGAAAACCAAAAGAAAAUUGCUAUUAUGCAAUUCAAAAGCACUUCAUUGUAAUAAAGAUUUACGUGAAAAAAAGGUUGCAAUUUCUGCUCCAAAAGUGGUGUUAUUGUAUAGCUUGGAGCACAAUUAUUUUACUACGACUUUAUUGGGAGAAUGCACUUAUAGUUAAAGCAUGAAAGAGGACUCAAGAUCAAGCUACAACAUGGUCUCAAAAUAAUUAUCAUCCUAAAGCAAGAUAAAAUAUUCCAGCAUAUAAUGAAGGAUAUCUCUUUUGGGAAGUAUCACUUGAGAGUAAGUCACGGACUUGCUCGUUAUAUAUUUCCACCAUCUGAACAGAAAUUUCGUAAGAAAAUGCGUGCUCUCUAUUCUGAGAAGUUUGGAACAGAUUGUUUAAGGCUCGGUAGUUAACACCCCAUUCAUCUUCAGAUGCUUUAUCAGGUCCAGUCUGGAAGUAGAUAUGAUAUUUCAGCGACGCAGACCACAAUGAAGCAUAUGCACUGUAGACAGAAACUGAUCAAAAUAUUCAUACCAUAGUAUAGGUUUUCCCUGAUCCAGUCUGGCCAUAAGCGAAUAUGCACACAUUAUAUCCAUCCAAAACUGAUUGUAUUAAUGGCUGCGUAUCUGAAAAUACUUCAGCUGCCAUUGGGGGAAAAAACAGUGAAUUUCCAUGUUGUUUUGGCCUAUGUACUAGAACAAAAAUAUAGAAGCAAAUAGCUUAAUCCUGCAUGAAACUGUUCUGUAAAGCAUACCAAAGAACAUAAAUAGAAUCAAAACCUUGUGUAGCAGCUUGACUGUAAACCUUGUUGAAUUUGAAUGAACGACGACUUUCUUUUCCUUGUUUGGCAGGAUUUACAAUAAUGAGUUCUCCAUUUUCACCAACAUAUUCAAUGGUUGACUGCUUUUCUCUCUGACCCGGGAGAAAUGGCCUUAUACGACAAUAAACUCUGAUAUUUCCUGUUCAUGUUUAAAGAGCAGAAGAAACUAAAGAAUACGAUCGAUGUGUAUUUAGAACCUACAAGUUCAUAAUAUUGAUAUAGAACCUUUUAGCUCUUGGAGCUCAUUGUGUAGCUUUUGAUUUUCAGCCAGCAUUGCAUAAUAGCUUUGAACUGCUUUCUGCAUAGCUUUGACAUUCAUUCCUGCAGUUAAUUGUUAACCAUGAGGUCAAUUCAUGACUUGUCACUUUAAACAACCAAAAUAUAAUCCCGAAAGUAGAGAGAGGUGUUCUCAGAGUAGGGACCUAAGACAUUAAAUUCCUCUGAGUAGCUUUUUUGUGUUUUCACAAUUUCUUGCUUGAUUGACUGCGAAGCAAACCUGAGUUCCUGAAUAUUGGCGUUAGAUCAGGUCAAACAUAACACCCAAGUCAGAAAGCUAGAGAAAAGAUAAAUAGCACAAACUGAGGCAUACACGCAGUGCGCCAAGUUGGAAUUCUGUAAAUAUUUGGUAUAUGUGCUCUUUCUUGGUCCAUCCCAAAGAUUUUGAUUCAGAUAACGCCUCAAGUUCCUUCACCCUAUUUCUUGACUCUGCUAGAAAGUUCAUGACCUCCUUCAACUUCUUCUCUAAUUCUUGUUGAACUCCUCUACCUUCUGUUUCCAUUUGUAAGCAAUGUUCCUCGUGCAUUUUCCUCGAUACUUCUAGCUCUUGCUUCAAAGCUGUGAUUUCAUGACUGAAAUCAUCCUUCUCUUUUAUCGUUUUAACCAGGUCCUGCUCCUCGACAUUCCUUUUUUCUUCUACAUUCCUUUUCUCUUCUAUUUUGCUCUGCUCAUUCUAGUGUGAAAACGGACAGUGAAGCAUUUAAAAAUAGCAAAAGCAUUCCUUAUGGAGGGCGAAGAAGCCGUUGAUCUAUUACAUAAGUUACAGCAUAAAAAAUAAACCAUGUCUUUUCGAAAAAUCCAUAAAUGAGGAAAUGGAUCUGUUGAAAACAGAUAAAUAAUCAGCAUUAAAAUAUCAAUGCCCUUCAUUAACAAAGAAGAACAUUACAAAUUACAUUUUAGUGCUUUAAAUUGUUGGACUAACAGUAGAUUCAACAUGCUUCCAUCACUAAGAGAACAGAUUCUUUUGAAUCUGCCAAGCGCAGGGUGGCAUGGUUGGCAGCUAAAAGAAAUUGAGGUCUAGCAGAAACAGACUCACACAUAUGAACCAAAAGAAAACAAUCACACUUACAAGAAGAGUGGUAGACAAUGCCGAACCAUAGAAAAUGGAAGUUAUACCUUAAUAUGAUGUAGCUGGGGCGUAACAUGAUGUAGCUGGGGCGUAACAAUCUGCAGCAGAGAAACUUUGGUAGACAAAGGACCAAAUUUCAGCAAAAUUUAGGAACUGCAAACUCGCAGUGCAAGAAUGACUACCUGUGACUCUUGAUUACUCCCAGUUGCAAGGGCUUCAAGUACUCUAAUCCUAGACUGGUACUUCUCCUCUCGGGCCUUGAAAAGAUUGUUUUGCUGCAGGUUAUAUAAAGAGGUUAGUUAACCAUAUUGCUGAAUUUAUGAGAACUGUUCACAAGAAAGAUGCACAAAUCAUUACCGUUUUCAAGUGUUCCCCUUGAGUAGAUAUUCGCCGCUCAAUCUCUUGUACAACUUUCCUCAAAAGGCCUGCCACUCGCUGUCAAAUAGAAUCCAUAGGGAUGAGUUAAAUCUUGUUGAUUGCCAAGUACAUGAGAAAAGGAUAAUAAUGCUUGGACUCAUCAGGAUUACUUGAGGAAUCUCCCCAUUUUUCCGCUCAAUGCUUUCAUCUAGAAUUCCGUUUACAACACUUAAAAGUGACUGAGUUGGGGCAUUCUGCACAGAACAGAAACAGAAAUUGUCUAUAAGAGCACGAAAUGCAUUGGUAGUGACAAGUCUCUCUACAGAGUAUAGAUCCAGUCCAUAGAAUUCACAAAAGCAGGACCAGAGGACAUACAUCCAAACUGUUUGAUUUCAUCAUUUCAGAAAUCUUGGAAGCAGGGAGAUCUGCAUAACGCCCAUGUUUGAGCUGAAAUACCUCAUGGAACUUAUGCCCGACAUGAUGCUUCAUUGUCGCUGAUGGUUCUGAAGAAACGAAAGAAAAAAGGAGCAUAGACAAAUCACGAAUAAAAAGAAAAUGAUUGCAUAUGAAUUCAGUUUGUCAUGAUUGACAAGCAACAAGUAUGAGUUUGUCUUGUUAUGAUUCUUCUUUUGAGAGUAAAAAGUAGCAAUAUACCUGCCAUAACUGGACUGUGUGAUGCAUGUUGAAAGGGAGAAUAUUUAUGAACACCAUGACCACUGCGAAAACAGUCCCCUAACAACUUCCAUUUUGUACUUCCAUCACUUCCUAAUUGAUUGGUUGAAUGUGCGCCAAAAUGAUGAUGUGCCCUUGCAUUUGGCAUAAAAUGUGCUCUGAGAGUUAAAAGGCAGUCCAACACCAUUUUCAUGGACCCCUGUACCAUUUAGAUGCGUUGAAGAUGCAAUUGAGCAAAAGAAGUGCAAGAAGCAGAUGAACAUAAAUGUUGCCAGGGUAAGAAAUUAUACUACUACAUUCUGCAUUUAUGAAACUAUUUACUGAGAACUGAAUUUUGUUUACCUUUUCCAGGUCUGAUAACUGGAAUCUGGGCAACCCCAUUUGAUCCAUAGUUGCUAAAAACCUUUUGACAUUCUCAGACCGUGACUCUGGAGACUGAGCAGGACCACCAUGCUGUAAACGAUGCAACGCAGAUUAUCAACAUUUGAACACAACCAUUUGAUAAACUUCGCAAUUUUACAGAUGAAGAUCCAACAAACGACAACCUCUGUCACACAACCAGGUUUUAAUUUGUUCAACAAUUGGCAUAACAGUAUGCCAUCAACCAAGAUUUCUCGUAAUUCUUCAUCAGAGGCAUUCAUUGGCAAACUUAAAUUAGGAAGAAGACUGUUCAACCAUUCCACAAGAAUGGCCCUCUGCUUAGCUGUGGAAUCAAAAAGGAGAAAAGAUCAGUCCAGUGAUCAUUGAGAUAGGCACGUAUUCUAACGAACGAAAGCAAAUGCCGCCCCAGCCUCACCAUCACUUUUUGACAUAGGCUCAAAAGCAUCAGCACUGAGAGACAUAGUUGAGCUGUUGAGUCUAUCAUAAUCCUUGGCUCUCCAGAGGAAUUUAGGACAGCAGGCCAGGGUUCCUAUCCUCUUUCAGAUGCGAGCUGUAGCAUGAAUGCACCGUGCAAGGAAACGACCUUUGAUUACCACCAGAAAGGGCAUGGGAAAAGCAUAUUUAGUAAUGGAAUAGUGAACCAGAUUUCACAAUAAUCACGAGACUUUUCUGGUUGCAAGAAAAUUUAGCUGAAACAUAAAUUAUUGUCAUGCAACUCUGUGGACAAACAAUAUAAGAAAGAAUCACAGCUCAAAUUAACUACUCAAGAGAAUUUGCUAAAAUAAACCUGUUUCAUUAGAAAGUCAUGCUAGCCUUUGUGUAGAAACAAAUGAUAUGGAAUUUUACUCGGUAGCAGCUUGAAUCUGGCUAUAUUUAUUUUCCAUGCACAACUAAUUGCUUGCAAGUCAUUUUUCAGCAAGUAAAGCAGAAAGAGAGCUGAAGCUAGUCUUCGUAUUUUCAUAUUUUUAUCUGCAAAAUAAAUCUCAGCAUCAUUUCUUAGAAAAACAAUAGCCCGUAUUUGGCAAAAUGAUUUGAUAUAACAAUGGAUUUGUCCAAUCAAUUUUUAAGAGUCUGAGAGUGAGGGAAAUCAAAGUGAAAAUUGGUACUGGCAUUCUUUUAUGUGAUUUAUUGGGAUAAGUGAGAACCCAAUACUCAAAAUUAAGAGGGGAACUAACUUAGGAGAUGAACCUGCAAUUAGGAUAUUUAGCAAAUUACAAAGCUAGCGAUCAAUUGAAUCUUUCUCAAGGUCUGCCGGACAAUGAUAAACCAGAAUCUGCAACAUGGAUAUGGAAAAGAUAAAAAAUUUCAGAAAUUGCACCAAAACAAGCAUUUCGAUCACUUGUGCCCACAUUUAACGCGCAGAAAUUCUAAUGAUCCAACAAAAACCCUAAGAUAUAACAGUUAAAGAAUAGAGUCCUUGCCCUGCCUCAGCUUUGCAGAAAUCAGACAACCUCCAACACAGUAUAGAUUUAGAGCAGAAAUAUUGAACAUCAUACCAAAACGGGCUUCAAAUGUAACAAUCCACACGUGCAAAAUGCAGUAAACAUGCAAGUUCUCAUCCCGCUAUCAACAAGUUAAAACAUGAAAUAUUUCGCUUACGUGCACUAAUUUGUCAUCACCUGUUCAACUCUGAAAAUAAAAGAAAUAUGAACAGAGAUCCAUAACAAUGUGGCCAUGCAAAUCGAAUAUACAUUGCAUGCAAAUAAAGGGUCAUUCAUGAAUGCUGGUAGAGAAUAAGAAGAAGAUGGGACGAACCAGAGAAGAAAUGCAGCGGCAUCAAAGCUAAGAAAGGCAACAAAAUGUGAAGAUUUUUUUCUUUAGUAAAUAUUAUACUAGUUAUUUCUCACUGCUACUCGUUUACUUUUUUGGGGUGUGAAAUUUAUUGGUAAGGGAAAAUUCUAAAGCAUUUCUUUCAAGUCUUCCGUGAACUCUUGGUAUUCUAUCGUUGUAAGGUUACAAUCCUGUCCGUUCUCCGUUUAUUCAGGAGUCGAUCAACAAUCUUUUAGCUCUCUCAGGUGUGGUCUCAAAUCAAUUGAGUUAGCUUCGCCUCUUUUCCUUUUUUGGGUCUUUCUAAUUCCCGUUUUAGUAAUAACCGAUAUGGCAUAUUCUUGAUUCAUGUGUGUUGGCAGGGAAAAUUUAAUUCAAUACGUCUACCUAAGCAACUCUUGAAUAAUUGAAAGAAUAAAUGGAAAUGAGGCAUGUACGUAGGCUUGGGAAUAGGAAGAGAGAGAUCCAGAUUCUUUAUUGGAUUUUUGUGGUGAAUAUUUUUGUUGAAGCUGUCUUUUUUUUUUUUUUUUUUUUUUUUUUCUUUAACCUAAGUCCUUCCUUUUUAAUUAUAGUAUGAUUAUGACAGACAUUUAGAGUACAAUUAAAAAAAAACCAACAGAGGUUCAAUUUUAAAAACGGUCGAAAUGCAAGGAGGUUCAAUCAUGAAUAUCCUUUACAGCUACUGAAAAGUCAUCUUAGUCUUUGAUAUAUUAGGUGUUACAACGCCUAGACUUAUUACUGCCCACCCCAGGACCCCAAGGCCAAAAAAAAAAAAGGGUUAUUCUGUCGCAUUACCUUUGUGAAAAUUAGUAGUAUAAAAAGCAGUUUAACAAAAUAAAGGUAGUCUGUCAUAAAGGAAAGAAGAAAAAAUUAUAGUAACUUGAUGGAAAAAUCUUGUUUGGCAGACAAGUUUUUUGCCAAGUUUGUCUGCUACAAGUUUUUUUUAAAAUUUUAACUAUAGUAAUCUCAAAAAAUUUCUCAAAGUUUUAAAAUUAUACACUUCAAAAUAUUAAAAAAAAACACACUUCGAAAAUUUUUUAAAAAACUUUUACAAUAAGUUACAGUAAAAUUUUAGACAAACAGUCAAAAAACUCACUUGCCAAACAGGGCCGUUCUUAGAUGAAUUAUACAAGGAAUGGAAUUUUUACAUAGAACUAACACAAAGAUUAGGUUAUGAUUUUUUUUUUCCCCGAUACAAUGGAGGGUCUGAAGACCCAUUUAACAACAACCAGUCGGAUGAGACCCUCGAUGUAUCUUAGCUUAAUAGUUUUCUGAGUGCAAAAGGAGCAUCCUAAGAACAACCAAACCAGCAGAUUGCUGCAACCCAUCCUCGACUUUGAGGCGAUCCGCACACAAGUUACCCUCACGCUAAACAUGGGCAAUUCCAGUCUCUUUCCAAUAAAGCCCUGAUCUUCAUGACGAUAUUGUAAUAUUGACUCUCAAUUGGAGCAUGAAUUUUGUUUCUUUAGAAAAGAUAUUACUGUAUCCUGUUUUCACAUAGAAAAAUAAUUUCAAUAGUAUAAAAAGUUUUGGUCGAAAGUAUAAAGAGCUGAGGACAUGGAUGUCUAAUAAAAGUAUAGAGAAUGAAUUUAGUAUCGAACCGUGUGGAUUUAGUGCCUCCGUUGUUAGAAAGCUCUACUUUUGAGCACCGCAUAACCACUUACAAGAAAUACUCUCUAUUUUUUUUUUUUUUUUUUUCAUUGAGGGGUGUCCAAGCCUUUAUUUGGCCAAACUAAUCCCUAAAACUAGCAAGUCCCGUUCAAGAAUGUUAGCAAGUUACCUUACAAAAGUCGAAUCUGAGAUUUUGCAGUAAAAACUGACGACUAGUCCUGACUAAACUACCCGUGGAGGACACUCACUCUGUGUUAAUUAAGUAAAUCCUCUAAUUCCCAAUAGUCACCAAAAAGCUAGAAAGCUCUAUUGUGUUGUACGAGUUGCUAUGCUGCUCCAACGAAAGCACGAGGACCAUGAAUUGAGAAGAUGCUACUCACCAAGCGGAAGGAAUGGAAACCUUCAAUCCAUUCUUGAAUUGUAUCAGCCAAAUUUGGAAUUAGAGAGUGUAGUUAUUCACUUCCCCCAGUUGCCAUCCUUGCCUGUCACUCCGGAAGAUUAUGAAAGAUUUGCACCAACAGUCCAAAAGAGGUGCAAAUUGACAUUUAAAAAAAAAAAAACUUAUCUGUAGUCAAUGUCUAACAAUCUUAUCAACAUCAAUGAUUUUAAUUGUGCCGCUACUCCAACCAUGGAUUUGGGGCAGAUGACCGUCCCUGCAUGGUUAAGGGCCAAGAUUUGCCCUCAAAAUUUUGUGCGGCUGAGAUUACACCAUGUAACUCGAUUUUCGCGCCAAGUGUGGGGCCCACCACUAUCUGUUGUGAAAAUACAUCCUGUAAAAAAAAAGUUACACAAUGUACAAAGAAAGUUACGGGCAGUUGAUAAUGACUAAAAUUGCUCGGGACGGUUGCAGGUCCGUGCCCCGAGUCCUCCAACCAUUUUUUUUUUUUUUUUUUGUCGACGGAGUGGGGUGUCCGGGUCAAGUCCGUAAAGGCGGCCGACUAAUCCCCACUUCGGCCCGGCCCAGCGCUCCAACCGGACCUAGCACGUUAAAUGCACGGCGAACUGAUGUUGCUGCGGAGGUUCGACCCCAGGACCUAACGGUCCCGAGGAAGAGGCGCCAACCACCAGCCCAUUCACGUGGGGGCCCGAGUCCUCCAACCAUGGGAGUAGAUUUUUGCACUCGUCCUAUGUCGUUGUCAGCUUGUGAGAUUUCUAAAAAUAAGUGGCCUUUCGUAUUGUUAAAGUAGGGAGAAAACUGAAGACAGAAACAUUGGGCACUAAAGCUUUCACAGAAUAGAAUACACAUUUGAUCGGCUUUCUUUAUCGUUAUCCAAACUAGUGGGAUCAUAAAACAAAGUCUUAGAAUUGGAAUUUUCUUUGCUAGCUGUACUGAUGCAUAGAAUUCUGCAAAUAUUUGUACCAUGAUGUUUCAUGCAUCAUAUCAAAUAGAAAAUAACUUCAUUAUUGACUGGCUCUAAUAGAUCAGAUCAUCCACUUAUACUGAUAAAGACUGAAAAUGGACCAUGACUUCCCCAUUAAAGAGUGUCCAUUUGUCCUGCUCCGUAACCUUCUACUCGGCUCCAAGGCCCCCGGUCACCCGGGCCCCCAUCCCGCAUCAGAGAAGACAUAAAGGCCAGAAAAAAAAAAAAAGAAGGAUUAACCACAUUUUUAAGAGAACAUGUUCCAGCUUGAAUCACUUUGAUGAAUCUGAACCGACACACCAAACCGAGAAAAUGCGUUGCAGUCCCACACGACCCAUUCCAGGCGAGAGUCAUGAGAGUUCAAAUCUAAGGUAACAUUCGAACCCUGGGUCAAUUCGUAAGCAAAGUUAGAUUCAUGUUAAACUUUACCGGUUAAUUCGUGUUGAAGUUAGAUGAAUUUAGCAGAGAGGAAUGGGUUGGAUGACACAGGAUGAUGCAGUGUAAAUAAAAGAUUUUAUAUUACAAAAUUUUCACUUAUUUUUUUUUUAUAAAAAGUUAUGCAUGUUUACUUUCUUUCAGAAUAAAUUUUAUUUAUGUAAAUAGAAACUUGAAUUUUUGUCAAAUCGAAUGGUAUUUGUAAUCUUAGAUGUGCAUCUCAACCACUUUUUUUGUUUUGCUUGUUGCACAUACAUAAUAGUAUCAUAAAAGUCACAACAUAAAAAACAAAAAUAAAACAUGCAAUCCAAACAGAUUCUGUCAAAGUUCUAAAUCUAGUAAUCCUAAUGGACAACUAUUGCAAGUAAAACCCUUUUCUUUAAUAAAUAACUCAAAGAAAGUAUCAUAUAUGUGUGUUUGGAUUGAGAUGAUUUGAAAUAAAAUAAUUUGUUUCAUAAAUUUCAAUUACUUUUAUAUCUUUUUAAUUUUUUUUAUUUCACAUACAUCACAUCACAAACAAAUGCUACAGUAAUUUUUUAAAAUAAAUCAUCCAAAUAAACUCCUAUCCAAACAAAAUUGUACCAAGAAAUAAUUAUUAUCUUUGCGUAUUAAUUUUUUUUGAGAAAAGUUAAAUUGAUUUGAAAAAAAUCUAAAUACAAAGAAUGCAGUAAUAAAUAUGAAAGUGUGCAUUUACAUAGUAAGUGAGAUGUAAUUUAAUUGUACAUGUAAGGGCCUUGCAGCAGUCAUCAAAAGUAUCUCUGAAGAAAUGGAAAGGAAAUUAAUAGGAAAUUGAGUGGAAGUUGAAGAAGAGAAGACAAUGAAGUCAGCUGCCUCCAACCUCCAGGGUUUGCGGAUAAGAAUGGAUGAGAAAACCAGAGGUCCAGUACAAAGGGCGCCCACAGCCCCACUCUAAACCAGUGUACGGAUUCCACAAAACCGGGAGUUGUCCAUGACUUUUCCCCACCAACGCCUUCACACGCGCCUACUCCGUCCACCUUUUACUCCCACAGAUAAGAAAGGAGCAAGCCAAAGCAAAGUGUCUUUUGUUAUUAGUUAUUACUACUAUAUUAGUGGUUGAACUACAAGUGAUUUGUUUUAUAGGUGGUCACAGAGGAUAUUUGUUGUUGCAUUAGAUCAAAAUUGAAGUUGUUAUGCAGUUGAUUAUAUAUGUGUUUAAUAAAUUGGUCAAAUAUUUUUGCCAAUUUGACAAGAAAUUAAGUUUUAUUAACUUUACAUAUGAUAUUGCUAAAGUAGUAUCUAUGGUAUAAUCUUGUGAGUUGUGCAUAUGAAGUUCGAUCAUAUACUAUAACAUAUAUUGUAUAUGCGGUUUUAAAUUAAGCUCAAUAAACUUAAGAAUUAGUACUGCAUAAUUUAAUUUCAUCUCAUUUAGUUUUGUGACCUACUAGAGCUUGAAAAAUAUUACAUCAAGUUUAAGCCGUGAAUGAAUAUGUUACAAGUAGUUUGUUAGAUGUUUAAUUUUAGUCUCACCAAAACUAAAAUAAAUGUGGGCAUAUUAUAAUAUUAUAUUUUUUAUAAAUUUUUAUUAAAAAAUGUGGGUGAUUAUGAUAGAAAAUUAUUUUUAAAAAAAUUUAGGUACAUUUCUUUUAACUUUUUGUAAUGUGAUUUAUUUGAGUUUAAAGGUAAUUAAAAAGAUAUCUAAAAAAAAGGUAAUUAAAAAAGAUAAAAGUAGUAGUAGUUCAAAAAAUAUAUUUGAUGAUGAAUGCGGAAGUGGCGCGUGGACUAUAGACAAAAGCUUCAAGAUUAUGUGGCGAGCCGCCAUGACCUGAAAACUGACGUCUGAAACACGUGUUCCAUCUACGGCUUCCAUGGUUUUGGACCCACUUGCAUGGCGAUUCUAUGUAUCAACCCUUCAGAUACCGCUGAAUUACCUUCUCGCCACCGACCGCGUAGAUUAAAGUUUGGGGCUCUAAAAAGACCAAUUUGACAUUCGAUGGCAACGGCAAUUUCGCUUUUACAAAAGUGGAGAUGAUAGAUGGAUUAGAGUAUAAACCUAGGACUCGUGAUAAUAUGAGCCUAGUUGCAUCUAAUUUGAUGGCUUAGCGAGGGAUGUGAAUGAUUGGAUAGACUUCGGACUAUUCGGGCUGCGAUACUUUUUUUCAAAAAAAAAGUACUUUUAAAAGAUAAAAGCGCUGUGUUUGUACUUAACAAGUAUUAUUUCUUGAAUUUAAGAGAAGAGCUUUUUUUAAUCAAUAAAGCACUUUUAAUAUUAAUUCAAAAUUGAUACUUUCAGAGCAACUUUUGUCUUCCAAAAAAAUAUAAAAUUAACUUUAACAAUUUUAUUAUAAAUUUUGAACCAAAUGAAGAGAUAAAUAAAUUUUAAAAUUUCACAUUAUCAAAUAAAAAAUACUUAUGCAAGUAUACAUCUAAACAAUAUAAUUAAGCACUCGAUGACUAUUUUGAUCAAAAACUGUACUGAUAAAGUGAUUUUAAUAAGCUCCACCACAACCUCAAAUGGACCUUUAAUUGGUUAAACUACUAGUACAUAAUUCAUUGGAAUUUCGGAUAAAAUUGACUAAACUAUGACAAUUUGAAAAUUUAUAACUCUUAAACAUACAUGGAAUGUCUAUGUAACUACAAGAAAAUUUAAUUUUAUCAGUUAUUGGAAACUUGAUUUUUCAAUUGUGCUAUAGUUAUUUAAAGUAUUGACAACAAGAAAAAUAUGAAGAAAUAUCGUCAUGAUCAUAGAAAAAAGGAAAACAAUUUGUCAAAUUUCUAGUUUUGCUUACAUGAUGUAAAAUAAAUAUAGAAUAUUACAUUUUUCUAAGAAAAAAUAGUCAAUUUAAUCAAAUCAUAAUGCAGAUAAAACAUAGAUUUAAGGUGCUGAAGAUAAAUUAAAAAAAUGGGAUGUUGGCUAGUUUUUCGACAAUGCAAGGUUUUCAGUCAAUUUUUCAACUAUUUAUCUCCAAUUUUUAGUUGCAUUCCAAAUAGAUGUUGACAAGUUUGAUCUUAUUAAUUUAAAUUCAAGGCAAACAUUUUUCUUGAGAAUCAUAAAAUGCAAUAAUGUUCCUUGUACUUGAUAAACACUAAUGAAUAAUUACAACGGCUAAUGCAUUUUUUUUUCUCUUGUAAUUGAGUUGAAUCCGUAUUGAUCAACUAAAGUCUCACCUCUUGUACCUUUUUCUCAUGGUUGAAGGAAAGUUGCAAGAACAGGUAAAAGUAUGUUAGAACCAGUCCGUCCAUUCAAAAAAACAAAACGUUGGGAGAGAGAGCCAAUAUGAGUCAAAUUAUAGCUAACGACGGGAAGGGCAAAAUGAGAAAUUCACAGAAGAACAGCAGCUAGAGCCAGCAGAUUUAAAACUUCUCCCUGAAUAAUGGAAACCAGCGAAGCUUAAGAAUACGCUUCCCCACGAUACCACUUCUUGCUCUUGGUAAAAACCACUUGCGCCAGCUGCCACAAGUUCUCUCACACUUCCCCCCGGUCCCCCUUCUCCCCCACCAUUGCUACAGUACACUUCUUAUUACUAUGGCACUACUUCGCAAUUCUCCCCUCCCAUAGAUAAAUGAAAACCGAUCUCAAUUUCUCUCAGUUUACCAGAGCCCCUCUUUCCCCAAUUAUCUCCUCUUUCCUUCCUCCACUGUCCACCCCAGCCAGACAAAAUCCUCCAUAAUUGGAACCCCACCAAAGACUCAAAUUCAAGGAACAAAAAAAAAAAAAAGAGGGAAAUAGACAUAACCAUUAAUCAUGCGGAUGAGCUGCAAUGGAUGCCGGGUUCUCCGGAAAGGCUGUAGUGAAAAAUGCAG